AUGGAGGAGCAUGUCUAUGGAGCCUGGGACCAAAGAAUACCAAGCAGAAAGCAGACCCAGGCUGAAGGUUGGGACACCACUUCCCUGCAUGUGGCCAGCAGGACUCCAAGUGUGGCCGAAGAACAACCAAGCAAAGCAGUGCUUUUCAAACCCUGUCACCAGGCUCAGAGAACAAAGAUUGGAGCUGGCUCGGACUAUUUAAAAGACCCAGAGAGAGAGGAAGAUAGAAAAGGACAAAUUAUGGGAAAAGACCCAAUGGUGAAGAGAUACAGAGAAAUCCACAGAGAGAAGAGAAAGAGCAGCUCAGCAGGAAGGCUCUCACCAGAUGCAGCUGCCUGA
Long non-coding RNA from Callithrix jacchus (white-tufted-ear marmoset), 339 nucleotides. Lineage: Eukaryota; Metazoa; Chordata; Mammalia; Primates; Cebidae. The record is from Ensembl.